CCCACAUCCAGAUUUCAGUUGGGAUCAGGAGAACAUUUCUGAUGUGAAUUUCCCAUUUACUGUGCUGGUUCCAGCUGAUAAUGGACAACCGCAGGGCUAAGCAGGAGCUUGGCUGGAAUCACAUCAACCUCUCCACCACGCCGCUGGCACAGACAUAGGAUUUGGAGAACAAGCUGUUUCACCCCCCAGCACCUCUCCUACUGCUAACGUAGACAUUGCUUGAGUGAAUCCUGCUGACUUGAUUGAUCCUGUAUAAUCAAUGCGAUUGUUUGUACGAGCGAAGUUGAUAGAUCUGUCCCUAAGUGGCAUUUACUCCACCAUAUCAUUUGGCAUACAAAUCAGCAGAUCAGGGCAGUGGUAACUGUUUUGUUACCACUCUGAAUUUAGGAAAAAAUCUAUUAAAGUCACUGGAGAAGGUCCAUAUUUACAGUAGAAUAACUGAUGUUAGCACUUGCCUGGUUUUAUUUAGAUGUGUAGAGCAACCUUGCUCUGGAGGUAGUUUAAAGAAAUAUUUCUGCCUUUUGGAGUUUUUGAAUUUAGGGCUAUUGGAAGAAGUAAUCUAGUUUUUUAUGAUUUCUUUCUUCCAAAAUAUUAUAUCCAUGUGAUAAUUAUGCAUUUGGUUACAUAGUUGUAAAUCUGCAUACUGCUAUUUGUACUCAGUGACAAAAUAUACUUUUAGCUUUUUUAAUGGUUACAGUAAAAUUCUCCAUAAUUUAUACCACAAGUAGCAAUUUUCACCUAGAAAUAUUGAUGACAUCUUCCCUGUGGAAAUGAACAGGUUUUAAUACAAUAAUAAAACAUGCCCUGUCUUCUUAGUUAGUCUCCAUUGAUUAAACAUGCAGGUUAUUUACAAAAAGCCUAACGCAAUGGAAAGGAAGAAUAACCAAUGCAAUGGCUGUAUCGCCAGGUUCACAUGCAAUUCAUCUUUGCUAAGCUAGCUGAGCCUUUAUAAUCUCAGGCAUUUAUGAAAUAAUAGGGAGAAAGCUUUAGGUUAAGCAUAUUAAGUAUAUAAAGUCUUUGUUUAAUUUGUUUCUUAAGAUGAAAUUCUCCUGUUCUUGAGGGAAAAGGAAGCACUUGCUCAGUUAAAGCCAUAGACAUAGAAUCAUAGAAUAGUUCGUGUGGGAAAGGACGAGAAUCGUAGAGUCAGAGAAUAGUUCGGGUUGGAAGGGACCUUCAAAGCUUAUCUAGUCCAACCCCCCUGCAAUGAACAGAGACACCUUCAAUUACUUCAGGUUGCUCAGAGUCCCGUCCAGCCUGGCCUUGAAUGUCUCCAGGGAUGGGGCAUCUACCACCUCUCUGGGCAACCUGGGCCAGUGUUUCACCACCCUCAUUGUAAAAAAUGUCUUCCUUAUGACCAGCCUGAAUCUCCCCUCUUUUAAUUUAAAAUCAUCACCCCUUGUCCUGUUGUAACAGGCCCUUCUAAGAAGUCUGUCUCCAUCUUUGUUAUAGGUCCCUUUUAGGUACUGAAAGGCCACAAUGAGGUCUUCCUGGAGCCUUCUCUUUUCCAGGCUGAACAACACCAACUCCUCAUUUUGUCCUCAUAAGGGGAUCUGUUCCAGCCCUCUGAUCAUUUUGGUGUCCCUCCUCUGGCCCCUCUCCAACAGGUCCAUGUCUUUCCUGUACUGAGGUCUCCAGAGAUGGACUCAGCACUGCAGGUGGGGUCUCACCAGAGUGGAGCAAUGGGGCAGAAUCACCUCCCUGACCUGCUGGCCAUGCUCCUUGUGAUGCAUUCCAGGAUACAAUUGUCCUUCUGGGCUGCAAGUGCGCAUUGACGGCUCAUGUCCAAUCUCUCAUUCGCCAGCACCCCCAAGUCCUUCUCCGCAGAGCUGCUCUCAAUUCCUUCAUACCCCAGCCUGUACUGUUACCGGGGGUUGCCCCAACCCAGUUGCAGGACCUUGUACUUGGCCUUGUUGAACCUCAUGACACUCGCAUGGGUGCAGUUCUCGAGCUUAUCCAGGUCCCUCUGGAUGGCAUCCCAUCCCUCAGGCCUGUCAACUGCACCACUUCAGCUUGGUGUCAUCUGCAAACUUGCUGAGGGUGCACUUGAUCCUAAUGUCUGCGUCAUUGAUGAAGAUAUUAAACAUCACUAGUUCCAGUACAGUUGCCUGCGGGACACCACUUGUUACCGGUGUCCAUCCAGACAUUACGCCAUUGAUAGCUAUUCUCUGGGUGUGACCAUCCAGCCAGUUCCUCAUCCACUGAACAGUCCACCCAAUAAAGUUCAUAUCUCUCCAAUUUACAGAGAACGACGGUGAGGGGGAGAUGUCUAAGGCUUUACAGAAGUCCAGAUAGAAAACAUCCAUAUCCUUCCUUUGUCUGCUGAUGUAGUUGCUCCAUUGUAGAAGGUCACUAGGUUGGUCAGGCAGGAUUUGCCCUUGGUGACACUGUGCUGGCUGUCUCAUAUCACCUCCCUGUCCUCAAUGUGCCUUAUCACAGCCUCUAGGAGGAUCUGUUCCAUGAUCUUCCCAGGCACAGAGGGGAGGCUGACAGGUUGGUAGUUCCCGGGCUCCUCCUUUCUACUUCUUUAAAAAGUGAGUGUGAUGUUUCCCUUUUUCCAGUCACAAGGGACUUAACCUGACUACUACAACUUCUCAAAUAUCAUGGAGAGUGGAGAGAUCCUCACUUACGGUGGGAGGGACCUUGCUCCUCCAGUCCCUGUCCCGCAGCUCAUUUUUCACUCAAGAAGUAUGGGAAGAGAGCUUGCCUGUGAAGACUGAGGCAAACAAGUUGUUGAGUACCUCAGCCUUCUUGCAGUAGGAUGUAAGAAGCCCUGUCAGACCACUAAUCAAAACAAUCUUUAUGAUGCUGAAAUUCUGUAGUUUAUGGUUAAACAUCACAGUCCAGUAACCAGUAUCAUCCUCACAUGCCCUGUUUUACGCAUUACGGCAAUUAGUGAAGCAUAUAGUAUAUAUUUAGACCAAGGCUUUUUGUCAGGAGCAGGUGAUGUAGUGACUCAGCAAGGCAUCAUCAGAAGGUAUUUGCUAGUGCUAAGGCUUUGAACACCUCUGUGGGGGCUAGACCUGCCAGACUAAUACAAGGGGCUAUUUUUGUAACAUCCAGAAAGCUUCUGCUGUACAUCAAACUGUGCUAGCUGCUUAUUUUAGAUUACGGUAAUUCACACAUUUGUCUUGAACAAUACAGUCUUUAGCACUUUUUGUAUGUACCUCUCCUAAAAUGAAACUUUCCUGUGAAGCAUUUUGUAGAAGGGCUUCCAAACUGAGAUCAUCAGAGACAUUUUCAUCAGGCGCUUCAGAUGUACCAGCGAAUUAACAGCCCACGUACCAAAGGUAAGUAACAUCCAUGGCGAUGAGCUACCUGGCUCUCGGGGAGUACUCUGAGGGCAUGAUUGGGGACAACACAGACACCUGGAUUCAUCUUCUGCUUUUUUCUGCUGCGUUGGGGUUCAGCCCUGGGCAGUGCUACAGGCUACACUCUUAAACUGAUCCCAAAAGAAGCUCAAAUCAUAUGGCAUUGGGAUGAGGCCCUUCACCCACAAUAGAGCAAUACUACUUGUUCAUAUUAGACCAGCAGCUGUAUUUUUAUGCUCCAUCACUUCUUUUCUUGAUAACUAUUGAUAACCCAUUUUUAAUUUCCAUAAGCACCUUCCCUUUAAAUUCAGCUUUCAUAUUGCGGCCAUUGUAUAUAUAUAUGUGCUGUAAUCUCAGAAAAUGAAACCUUGCCUCCUUUUCCUUUAUUACUUCCCUCCAUCUCCGGCGAAACGUGUCCUUCCUCACUCUCACCUGCUCCCCAGCACCUCUCCAAUCAAGCCCAGCACCCCUCUCUCUCUGUUUCCACACAUCAAUGGAAGCAUUUUCCUCUCAUCUCUUCCUCCGUCACCUCCUCCACAGUGGGAAACUAGUCUUUUAUGGUGUUCAUUGUCAUUCCCGGCAAUGGAAAUCUCACCCUCCUUUCCAUACAUUCAGUUGUUCGAAAAUAACUCUUGAAAAUAACUUCCCUGAAACCCACGACUUUUCCUGUGGUUUUUGAUGUUGGAUCACAUGAAUGUGACAUGGACAGCCUGAUGCCAGCAGAGGGGCUGGGCUUUUCAUUCUCCUGGCUGCUGUUAAAUCUGCCCAUUGUGCUUGGAGGGUUAGUCUGAGCCUGAGAGCUGAGCAUUUCACCCUGACUUGUGUCUCCUUCUGUGUCCUUGAGCUGAUGGGGCAGAUCCUGACUGCAAAUAUGUGAAGCAGUAGAAGAUACCUGUGAGAUUCCAGCUGUGUCCCCAAGGUCAGAAUCAAGGACAAUCAAGAGAUAGUGGAAAUUACCACCAAAGCCAGGUCUCCCUGGACUGCCAGCGUCAUUCACGGCAGCAUGAGCAGAGGGUUUUCACCACAGCAGCUGUUACAAUCAUUGAUUUUUUUGUUCAGCAGCAGAACCAGAAUAAAAAGGAAGAUUUCUAUCAAGCUUCUGAAAUGCAAUCCUGAAAAAUUUAAUUUCAGAUCAGCAAAAUACACUAUUUGAAGGACAUGGUAUAAAAGCAGGGGGAAAAAGCCUGGAAUCAUGAAGUGGAAGAGUCAGGUAUGGCAGCUAUUCUUCCCUGACCUGGUACUCAACGGAAAAAGAUAUUCAGUGAGGUUAAAACCACAAUCUGCUACACGCAGGGAUUUGAGACAAAGCCCUUCUUUUACUGGAGUUCUUUAGCUUCAGCCAGAGGUCACCUGGAAUAAGAUGUUCUCCAGCUCUCCUGGGGUGGCUAUUUUACUUUUCAUUGCAACUGUACAAAUACUCAGCAGUCAAGAGGGAAAAUCACAUGUUCGAGUGAUUCUGCAGCGUAGGGGUUAGACUAGAUGACCUUUAAAGGUCUCUUCCAACCCAAACUGUUCUAUGAUUCUAUGGUUGAGACACAGCACCACUGGGUUUUAGUUUGAUGGCAAUGAACAUUGAAGCCAUUUACACCAAAUUAAACCAUAUUGAAAGAAGAGAUUUCUGAAACAUUCCCUGAAAAUUCUUGGCCGUGUGCUGGAUGAGCAGUGGCUGCCCUGAAGGAGGGCAGUGGCGGCCUCACGUCCUGCACCAUCAACCGUACACCUGGGAGAGAAGGGAGAAACUACCACUGAGGUCCAAACUGUUUAGCAGAUAAAACUAUUGCUGAAUUUGACUCAAAUUCAUAAAGAAUUGUUAUGACCCCAAACGGUAUUUUUUGAUGAAUAAAAGAAUGAAAAUCGUUGCUGCUAAA
Molecule: long non-coding RNA, 5176 nt
Organism: Columba livia (rock pigeon)
Lineage: Eukaryota; Metazoa; Chordata; Aves; Columbiformes; Columbidae
Exons: 2
Source: RefSeq, a predicted model, not a curated record